GAUGAACGCUGGCGGCGUGCCUAAUACAUGCAAGUCGAGCGAACGGACGAGAAGCUUGCUUCUCUGAUGUUAGCGGCGGACGGGUGAGUAACACGUGGAUAACCUACCUAUAAGACUGGGAUAACUUUGGGAAACCGGAGCUAAUACCGGAUAAUAUUUUGAACCGCAUGGUUCAAAAGUGAAAGACGGUCUUGCUGUCACUUAUAGAUGGAUCCGCGCUGCAUUAGCUAGUUGGUAAGGUAACGGCUUACCAAGGCAACGAUGCAUAGCCGACCUGAGAGGGUGAUCGACCACACUGGAACUGAGACACGGUCCAGACUCCUACGGGAGGCAGCAGUAGGGAAUCUUCCGCAAUGGGCGAAAGCCUGACGGAGCAACGCCGCGUGAGUGAUGAAGGUCUUCGGAUCGUAAAACUCUGUUAUUAGGGAAGAACAUAUGUGUAAGUAACUGUGCACAUCUUGACGGUACCUAAUCAAAAAGCCACGGCUAACUACGUG
RNAcentral lists this ribosomal RNA (497 nucleotides) under uncultured bacterium. RNAcentral describes it as "partial 16S ribosomal RNA". It matches the Rfam family "Bacterial small subunit ribosomal RNA", at positions 28 to 507 of the family's 1533-position model. The record is from RNAcentral.